AGCGAACGCUGGCGGCGUGCCUAACACAUGCAAGUCGAACGUGAAAAGGGAAACCUGAGUAAAGUGGCGUACGGGUGAGUAACGCGUAGGUAAUCUACCCCAGAAUCUGGAAUAACCUGCCGAAAGGCGGGCUAAUACUGGAUAGAGCGAGGGAACUCGUAAGAGAGUUUUUCGGGAAAGGGAGCCCGCUAGGGCCUUCGUUCUGGGAUGAGCCUGCGUCUCAUUAGCUAGUUGGUAAGGUAACGGCUUACCAAGGCGAUGAUGAGUAGCUGGUCUGAGAGGAUGAUCAGCCACACUGGAACUGAGACACGGUCCAGACUCCUACGGGAGGCAGCAGUGGGGAAUCUUGCGCAAUGGACGAAAGUCUGACGCAGCCACGCCGCGUGAGUGAAGAAGGCCUUCGGGUUGUAAAGCUCUGUCGGAUGGGACGAACAUCUUCAUAGUGAAUAGCUAUGAGGACUGACGGUACCAUCAAAGGAAGCACCGGCUAACUCCGUG
RNAcentral lists this ribosomal RNA (498 nucleotides) under uncultured bacterium. RNAcentral's name for it is "partial 16S ribosomal RNA". It matches the Rfam family "Bacterial small subunit ribosomal RNA", at positions 29 to 507 of the family's 1533-position model. The record is from RNAcentral.